Molecule: long non-coding RNA, 17044 nt
Filed under: Chlamydomonas reinhardtii
Lineage: Eukaryota; Viridiplantae; Chlorophyta; Chlorophyceae; Chlamydomonadales; Chlamydomonadaceae
Description: long non-coding RNA (CREI_LNC000440)
Source: RNAcentral
UUAGCUUGCAGGGCAGACAGGAACGCAGGCAACUUUACUUUACUUUACUCUCUUCUCUUGCUAUUCUUGCAUCCUCCUUUCCUUCUGCACAGCUUUGAAACAGUCGACGUCAUUUCUCUCGCGCUGUUCGACUUGCUUCCUUUUGUAUUCGGCUUCUUAAGGCCUACGAACCACUGUGAAGCAGUUUGCAUUUGUGGGCGUGCUCGUUUUUGGUCAGUCCACUUUGCAGCUGUAGCGCGACACUCCCUCUCCAGCACCCUUCAGCCUAUGCCGGCUUGUGCUUUGGAAUUCGACACCGCUAUGGAAUAGGAUUCUGGCGGUUCAGGAGCGUCGCCGUGGAGUUGGCGACAUUUCGCUUGUCGGCAUUUUAACAUCUCGGCGAGCACCACACUUCACCCGCUUGGAGCAGGCGGCGUAUCAACCUUUGUGGUUGGUCAUUUGCAUCCGCGCGUGCAAGCAGGGUGCUUUGGGUGUGGCGGUCAGGGGAGCCCUGCAGCACUUGGCUGUUUCUUUGGGGUGUGGCUCGUCUUCGUGCCCUUGUUGCCUGGCGCCCGGCUGCCUGGCGCCCGCCCUGCUGUGAUGCCCUGUGAGUGCUGAUCUUGGGUAGCUAUGCAGUUGCUGGGUGAUCCUGGUCGGUUCCGCCUGGUGUCUCAGCGCAGCCAAGACACCAGGGGCCAACACCAGCCAUGCAGCACACACGCCCACGGCGCGGCCGCAGCAGCACAUGCCGUGCCGUGUCGCACAAAGCCUCAGGGCCCCAGCCUGCCUACCUACCCAGUCCUUCUGGUGCUGGCGGCAAAGCUGGCCUACCACUUCAGCUUCCUCAACCCGUCGCCUGCGCAGCUGAAGGAACUCACCGACCUGGUGGACCACUUUGCUGCGCGCUCCAUGCACGCUGAGGACGCCAGCCUGGUGUCGCAUGGGAACCCGCUCCUGCUGCCCAAGCGGGAAACGGCCUGUCUGCCGUACAAGGAUGGGGGUGUCAACCACGUCGACCUGCCUGCGUUCCUGUCUGCCCUGCAAGCUAAGACUUUCGCCCUCCUUGCCCAGCCAGGCCGGCAACCCUGGAAGACGCUCACCCGGGCGCUGCUUACCCAUGUGCGCCCAGACUCCGCCACCACGUGGGCGUGGGUGUACAGCGACGCGCCAGCGCCAGCGGGGCUGCCUGCCCGGCUGGCGGCCGCGGUCGGCCACGUGCGGAGCGCGGGUGUGGAACAGCAUCCGCCGCAGCCAGCCACUCAGCCGCCAGCGGCGCCGCCACAGUGGAGGGUUAGCCUGGACCAGCUGUGGGUGGCUAAUGCUGCGGGGGCUGUGUCCUACGUCCACUACACGGGGCGGCUCUUGGAGCCUGGACCUGGCGUGCUGCCCCCGGCGGUGGAUGGGGCGUGGCAGCCUGCCUGUGUGCUGCAGCACCGCAAGCCGCGGCACCUGUGGACCUUUGAAGAGCGGGCGGCGUACGAUGCAGCAUCACCAGGGGAACGGGCGGGGGCGUGGCCUCGGGCGCCGUACUUCCUGGCGCCGGAGGCUGGGGUGGUGGUGCACCCGGAGCACUGCCGGAUUGCGGGUGUCAGCUUGGCGGACUACACGGUGCGGGACGUGCGGCGGGCCAUCACCGCGGCUAACCCGGCCGCACCUCCUGCUCCGGCCCGCCCCGCAGCCAUGCCGUGCCCGGCGCCAGCACAGCAGGCGGGGGGUUCGGGGACCCAGCCGGCGGCACAGUCGCGGCUGGCGAAGCGGGAGGCGGAGUGGCAGCGUGCAGCGGCGCAGCUGACCACCACGGCGGCGCAGCACUUCAACAAUAACCCGGUGGCUCUGGACCCCUGGCUCCACCGCACCUCUGCGGCAGCCGGGCUGCAGAACACGCCGGCGCGAGAACUGCAGUCGUAUGCGUCCCCGUCCCAGCAGUCAGGUGAGGGGCCGCGGCGGUCCGCGCGGCUGCAGGAGCAGGCGGCGGGAGGGGCGGGACCUAGCACGGGGCCUGCCACGGCGGCGGCGGCAGCAGCGGCGGCGGUGGAGGGCGACCCUCGCAUGCCGCCCCCGGAUGCGUCCCUUCUGCGGGGUACGUGGCGGAGGCUGUGGGACAGCCACGCUAGUCGGGGGGCAAAGGUGCUGGUGUACCGGCUGCAACAUGCUUACCUGCCUUGCGGGCUGUACAGGGCGGGCAAGGGAAUUCGUCCACGGGUGACCACGGGGUGCGGGGGGUUGGGGGCGCACUGUCCUCACCCCGCCUGCGGGCCACCUGGCCCGCGGGCGUGGGCCAGCCUAACGCACAUCUUCCUGGAGUGUCCAGCUUAUGCGCAGGCGAGGACGUGGCUGCAGCAGCUGUGGGCCUGCGUUGCGCCCCAGGCAGCGGCGCCGCCAGUGACGGACGCGGGCUUCAUGCUGGGGGACCGCAUGGGUAUGUGGGCCUCAGGCCCGCGGGGGGCGGGCGCGCUGCUGUGGAGCACUUUGCGGGCCACCUUCUUGUACGCCGUCUGGUGUGCAUACUGGUCCCGCGAGCCUGCUAAGCAGACAUCGGAGCAUGUGGUUUGGGAGGUGGUCAGCGAGCUGCGCAGGGUGAUGCAGCUGCGUUUCACUGCCGCCACGCUAACCCCUGAAACCCUGUCGGCUCUGCCCACACAGCUUCUCACCGCGCAGCUCAAGGCGGCUAAGCUGGAGCACUUUGUUGCCAUCUGGACGGCGGGUGGCGCGCUUUGUGAAGUGGAGGCGGUUCAGGGUGGGUCACCGAAGUUGAACUUGCGGCUGACGCUUGCAUCACCUGUGCAGGCCCCCUAGGUUUCCUUUUGGGCGGCGUUUCUUUCCAGGCGCUGGCGUGGUGUACUAUCGUCAUCAGCUUAUCUGGCGCCCAUGUGUUUUAGCUCUGGCUGGCGUCACAGCGCCUGGGCGGCUGUGGGCCUUCCUGCACAGCGCGUCUUGCAGCGGGCUGGAGCCCGCUUACUCAGCGCCACAUCUGGCCCGAUUAGUCUUCUGCUUGUGUCUCCUCUGCCGGUUCUCCUGGGGUGUUCCUUAAGCAACCGACUUGUGGGGGUGGGGUGGGUUUGGGCGGGGCGAGUGCGUAGCGCUGGUGUUUUCUUUUCUGGCGCGCGGUGGUGGUGGUUCUUGCGGCUAGGCUGUGGUGUAGGUUGGUGCUUGGGUUAGGUCUGGCGGUGUUUUGUUGCAACCCCUCCCGGGGGGCGGGGGGGCCAGCCUCCUGCUCUGUCUGCCGGGUCGGGGUGGGGUGGGGUGGGGUGGGAUGGAUGGGGGUGGUUGGUGGCGGUUUCGAGGUGUUUGCUUUCUGUCUUCUUCUCUUUUCUUCUCUUCUUGCCCUGUCAGGGUUCUGGUCUCGGGGACCAGGCUGUUUUCAGGCAGCAGGGGGGCAGCGCGUCUGCCCCUGUUCAACCUUGUAAGGAUGAUUCCUCACAAAAAAAAAAGGCAGGUCGACGUGGUUGACACCCCCAUCCUUGUACGGCAGACAGGCCGUUUCCCGCUUUGGCAGCAGGAGCGGGUUCCCGUGCGACACCAGGCUGGCAUCUUCAGCGUGCAUGGAGCGCGCAGCAAAGUGGUCCACCAGGUCGGUGAGUUCCUUCAGCUGCGCAGGCGACGGGUUGAGGAAGCUGAAGUGGUAGGCCAGCUUCGCCGCCAGCACCUGCUUCGCAAUGUGCACACGGCCAACCAGGGUCAGAGACAGGGCAGCCCACAGACGCGCCACAAACGCCAUGCCGCGAGCCCGCCGGGUGAACAGGUCAGCUGCAGCCGCAUCAGAGUCCCACGACAGAGGCACCCCCAGGUGCGUCACGGCGCCAGUGGUAAACGGCACCCCCGUGUGUGGGCAAGGGCCCGUCAGGUGCGCAAACCUGCCAAGGCCCAUGGCCUUGCUCUUGUCCGGAUGGACACGGGCGUUGGACGCGCGGCAGAACAGCUGUACUGCCGCCAUCAGGACCGGCCCGUCCACCGCCGGGUCGCGCGCCGUGAGGGUCGUGUCGUCAGCAUGGUGGGCAGCAGGCGGCGCCUGCUCGCCGCUGGGUAACAGGGGCGUGCGCAGUGCCCCUUGCUCCACCUGCCGCCGCAGAAAGGACGUCAGUGGCUGCAUCUGGAUGACCCACAGGGGUGGUGAGGCGGUGCUGCCCUGCGGCAAGCCGUUCAGCACUGGGAAGGCGUCAGAGAGCAUCCCGUUCACACACACGCGGGCAGAGCCGUUGGCAGUGAGCAGGCGGAUCCAGCGCAGCAUGCGCGGCCCAAACCCCAGUCCCUCCGCGGACGCAUACAGCCACUGCCGGUGCACCCGGUCAUACGCCUUUUCAAUGUCCAAGAAGUACAGCGCACCACCCUGCCGUGGUGUGCCGUCCGCGCCCACGUCCAGGCGCAUCCAAUCGAUCAGGCCAUGCUUACCUGCCUUGCGGGCUGUACAGGGCGGGCAAGGGAAUUCGUCCACGGGUGACCACGGGGUGCGGGGGGUUGGGGGCGCACUGUCCUCACCCCGCCUGCGGGCCACCUGGCCCGCGGGCGUGGGCCAGCCUGACGCACAUCUUCCUGGAGUGUCCAGCUUAUGCGCAGGCGAGGACGUGGCUGCAGCAGCUGUGGGCCUGUGUUGCGCCCCAGGCAGUGGCGCCGCCAGUGACGGACGCGGGCUUCAUGCUGGGGGACCGCAUGGGUAUGUGGGCCUCAGGCCCGCGGGGGGCGGGAGCGCUGCUGUGGAGCACUUUGCGGGCCACCUUCUUGUACGCCGUCUGGUGUGCGUACUGGUCCCGCGAGCCUGCUAAGCAGACGUCGGAGCAUGUGGUUCGGGAGGUGAUCAGCGAGCUGCGCAGGGUGAUGCAGCUGCGUUUCACUGCCGCCACGCUAACCCCUGAAACCCUGUCGGCUCUGCCCACACAGCUUCUCACCGCACAGCUCAAGGCGGCUAAGCUGGAGCACUUUGUUGCCAUCUGGUCGGCGGGUGGCGCGCUUUGUGAAGUGGAGGAGGUUCAGGGUGGGUCACCGAAGUUGCACUUGCGGCUGACGCUUGCAUCACCUGUGCAGGCCCCCUAGGUUUCCUUUUGGGCGGCGCUUCUUUCCAGGCGCUGGCGUGGCGUAUUAUCGUCAUCAGCUGAUCUGGCGCCCAUGUGUUUUAGCUCUGGCUGGCGUCGCAGCGCCUGGGCGGCUGUGGGCCUUCCUGCACAGCGUGUCUUGCAGCGGGCUGGAGCCCGCUUGGUCAGCGCCACAUCUGGCCCGUUUAGUUUUCUGCUUGUGUCUCCUCUGCCGGUUCUCCUGGGGUGCUGCUUAAGCAACCGACUUGUGGGGGUGGGGUGGGUUUGGGCGGCGCGAGUGCGUAGCGCUGGUGUUUUCUUUUCUGGUGCGCGGUGGGGGUGGUUCUUGCGGUUAGGCUGUGGUGUAGUUUGGUGCUUGGGUUAGGUCUGGCGGUGUUUUUGUGCAACCCCUCCCGGGGGGCGGGGGGGCCAGCCUCCUGCUCUGUCUGCCGGGUCGGGGUGGGGUGGGGUGGGAUGGAUGGGGGUGUUUGGUGGCUGUUCUUUUUUUUUUUUAGGAAUCAUCCUUACAAGGUUGAACAGGGGCAGACGCGCUGCCCCCCUGCUGCCUGAAAGCAGCCUGGUCCCCGAGACCAGAACCCUGACAGGGCAAGAAGAGAAGAAAAGAGAAGAAAACAGAAAGCAAACACCUCGAAAACCGCCACCAACCACCCCCACCCAUCCCACCCCACCCCACCCCGACCCGGCAGACAGAGCAGGAGGCUGGCCCCCCCGCCCCCCGGGAGGGGUUGCACAAAAACACCGCCGGACCUAACCCAAGCACCUACCUACACCACAGCCUAACCGCAAGAACCACCACCACCGCGCGCCAGAAAAGAAAACACCAGCGCUACGCACUCGCCCCGCCCAAACCCACCCCACCCCCACAAGUCGGUUGCUUAAGCAACACCCCAGGAGAACCGGCAGAGGAGACACAAGCAGAAAACUAAGCGGGCCAGAUGUGGCGCUGACUAAGCGGGCUCCAGUCCGCUGCAAGACGCGCUGUGCAGGAAGUCCCACAGCCGCCCAGGCGCUGCGACGCCAGCCAGAGCUAAAACACAUGGGCGCCAGAUAAGCUGAUGACGAUAAUACGCCACGCCAGCGCCUGGAAAGAAGCGCCGCCCAAAAGGAAACCUAGGGGGCCUGCACAGGUGAUGCAAGCGUCAGCCGCAAGUGCAACUUCGGUGACCCACCCUGAACCUCCUCCACUGCACACAGCGCGCCACCCGCCGUCCAGAUGGCAACAAAGUGCUCCAGCUUAGCCGCCUUGAGCUGUGCGGUGAGAAGCUGAGUGGGCAGAGCCGACAGGGUUUCAGGGGUUAGCGUGGCGGCAGUGAAGCGCAGCCGCAUCACCCUGCGCAGCUCGCUGACCACCUCCCGAACCACAUGCUCCGACGUCUGCUUAGCAGGCUCGCGGGACCAGUACGCACACCAGACGGCGUACAAGAAGGUGGCCCGCAAAGUGCUCCACAGCAGCGCGCCCGCCCCCCGCGGGCCUGAGGCCCACAUACCCAUGCGGUCCCCCAGCAUGAAGCCCGCGUCCGUCACUGGCGGCGCCGCUGCCUGGGGCGCAACACAGGCCCACAGCUGCUGCAGCCACGUCCUCGCCUGCGCAUAAGCUGGACACUCCAGGAAGAUGUGCGUCAGGCUGGCCCACGCCCGCGGGCCAGGUGGCCCGCAGGCGGGGUGAGGACAGUGCGCCCCCAACCCCCCGCACCCCGUGGUCACCCGUGGACGAAUUCCCUUGCCCGCCCUGUACAGCCCGCAAGGCAGGUAAGCAUGUUGCAGCCGGUACACAAGUACCUUGGCCCCCCGACUGGCGUGGCUGUCCCACAGCCUCCGCCACGUACCCCGCAGAAGGGACGCAUCCGGGGGCGGCAUGCGAGGGUCGCCCUCCACUGCCGCUGCUGCUGCCGCCGCCGCCGUGGCAGGCCCUGUGCUAGGCCCCGCCCCGCCCGCCGCCUGCUCCUGCAGCCGCGCGGACCGCCGCAGCCCCUCACCUGACUGCUGGGACGGGGACGCAUACGACUGCAGUUUUCUCGCCGGCGUAUUCUGCAGCCCGGCUGCCGCAGAGGUGCGGUGGAGCCAGGGGUCCAGAGCCACCGGGUUAUUGUGGAAAUGCUGCGCCGCCGUGGUGGUCAGCUGCGCCGCUGCACGCUGCCACUCCGCCUCCCGCUCCACCAGCCGCGACUGUGCCGCCGGCUGUGUCCCCGAACCCCCCGCCUGCUGUGCUGGCGCUGGGCACGGCAUGGCUGCAGGGCGUGCCGGAGCCGGAGGUGCGGCCGGGUUAGCCGCGGUGAUGGCCCGCCGCACGUCCCGCACCGUGUAGUCCGCCAAGCUGACACCCGCAAUCCGGCAGUGCUCCGGGUGCACCACCACCCCAGUCUCCGGCGCCAGGAAGUACGGCGCCCGAGGCCACGCCCCCGCCCGUUCCCCUGGUGAUGCUGCAUCGUACGCCGCCCGCUCUUCAAAGGUCCACAGGUGCCGCGGCUUGCGAUGCUGCAGCACACAGGCAGGCUGCCACGCCCCAUCCACCGCCGGGGGCAGCACGCCAGGCCCAGGCUCCAAGAGCCGCCCCGUGUAGUGGACGUAGGACACAGCCCCCGCAGCGUUAGCCACCCACAGCUGGUCCAGGCUAACCCGCCACUGUGGCGGCGCCGCUGGCGGCUGAGUGGCUGGCUGCGGUGGAUGCUGUUCCACGCCCGCGCUCCGCACGUGGCCGACCGCGGCCGCCAGCCGGGCAGGCAGCCCCGCUGGCGCCGGCGCGUCGCUGUACACCCACGCCCACGUGGUGGCGGAGUCCGGGCGCACAUGGGUAAGCAGCGCCCGGGUGAGCAUCUUCCAGGGUUGCCGGCCUGGCUGGGCAAGGAGGGCGAAAGUCUUAGCUUGCAGGGCAGACAGGAACGCAGGCAGGUCGACGUGGUUGACACCCCCGUCCUUGUACGGCAGACAUGCCGUUUCCCGCUUUGGCAGCAGGAGCGGGUUCCCGUGCGACACCAGGCUGGUGCCUCAGCGUGCAUGGAGCGCGCAGCAAAGUGGUCCACCAGGUCGGUGAGUUCCUUCAGCUGCGCAGGCGACGGGUUGAGGAAGCUGAAGUGGUAGGCCAGCUUCGCCGCCAGCACCUGCUUCGCAAUGUGCACACGGCCAACGAGAGUCAGAGACAGGGCAGCCCACAGACGCGCCACAAACGCCAUGCCGCGAGCCCGCCGGGUGUACAAGUCAGCUGCAGCCGCAUCCGAGUCCCAUGACAGGGGCACACCCAGGUGCGUCACGGCGCCAGUGGUAAACGGCACCCCCGUGUGUGGGCAAGGGCCCGUCAGGUGCGCAAACCUGCCAAGGAAUAAUAAUAAUAAUACCUACGCUCGGACCAAGGUCCCGCGUGCCUUAAGGAAGAGUCCCAUCGAGGCUAACCCUACCGUAUCUCUGUGGGACCUUGGCAAGAGGCACCCCACGCAUCCACCUUCACUCAGUCCAUAGGAACCGAAGUUCUGGACCUAUCGGCCUACCAACUCUCCGAAUUCGGCCAUCGUGAAGUUUCCGCGUUGCAACAAUGGGAUCCGAACCCAGAGAGUCGCUACAACGCUUCCGUCAGUACCGCGGACUCCAUACCGGAAUACUGACUCGGUUCCCCGGGCAGGAUCCGAACCUGCAUCUAUACUUGUCAGCCUCAACCCGGCCGAAUCCGUGAAUCGAACCUGGGUCUGCCAUGUGACAGCGGCAUGCUCUACCAAUUGAGCUACCGGGGAACCUGCCAAGGCCCAUGGCCUUGCUCUUGUCCGGAUGGACACGGGCGUUGAACGCGCGGCAGAACAGCUGUACUGCCGCCAUCAGGACCGGCCCGUCCACCGCCGGGUCGCGCGCCGUGAGGGUCGUGUCGUCAGCGUGGUGGGCAGCAACCUUUUUUUUUGAGGAAACAUCCUUACAAGGUUGACCAGGGGCAGACGCGCUGCCCCCCUGCUGCCUAAAAGCAGCCUGGUCCCCGAGACCAGAACCCUGACAGGGCAAGAAGAGAAGAAAAGAGAAGAAAACAGGAAGCAAACACCUCGAAAACCGCCACCAACCACCCCCAUCCAUCCCACCCCACCCCACCCCGACCCGGCAGACAGAGCAGGAGGCUGGCCCCCCCGCCCCCCGGGAGGGGUUGCACAAAAACACCGCCAGACCUAACCCAAGCACCAACCUACACCACAGCCUAACCGCAAGAACCACCACCACCGCGCGCCAGCAAAGAAAACACCAGCGCUACGCACUCGCCCCGCCCAAACCCACCCCACCCCCACAAGUCGGUUGCUUAAGCAACACCCCAGUAGAACCGGCAGAGGAGACACAAGCAGAAAACUAAACGGGCCAGAUGUGGCGCUGACUAAGCGGGCUCCAGUCCGCUGCAAGACGCGCUGUGCAGGAAGUCCCACAGCCGCCCAGGCGCUGCCACUCCAGCCAGAGCUAGUACUCAUGGGCGCCAGACAAGCUGAUGACGAUAAUACGCCACGCCAGCGCCUGGAAAGAAAAGCUGCCCAGAAGGAAACCUAGGGGGCCUGCACAGGUGAUGCAAGCGUCAGCCGCAAGUUCAACUUCGGUGACCCACCCUGAACCUCCUCCACUUCACAAAGCGCGCCACCCGCCGUCCAGAUGGCAACAAAAUGCUCCAGCUUAGCCGCCUUGAGCUGUGCGGUGAGAAGCUGAGUGGGCAGAGCCGACAGGGUUUCAGGGGUUAGCGUGGCGGCAGUGAAACGCAGCUGCAUCACCCUGCGCAGCUCGCUGACCACCUCCCGAACCACAUGCUCCGACGUCUGCUUAGCAGGCUCGCGGGACCAGUACGCACACCAGACGGCGUACAAGAAGGUGGCCCGCAAAGUGCUCCACAGCAGCGCUCCCGCCCCCCGCGGGCCUGAGGCCCACAUACCCAUGCGGUCCCCCAGCAUGAAGCCCGCGUCCGUCACUGGCGGCGCCACUGCCUGGGGCGCAACACAGGCCCACAGCUGCUGCAGCCACGUCCUCGCCUGCGCAUAAGCUGGACACUCCAGGAAGAUGUGCGUCAGGCUGGCCCACGCCCGCGGGCCAGGUGGCCCGCAGGCGGGGUGAGGACAGUGCGCCCCCAACCCCCCGCACCCCGUGGUCACCCGUGGACGAAUUCCCUUGCCCGCCCUGUACAGCCCGCAAGGCAGGUAAGCAUGGUGCAGCCGGUACACAAGUACCUUUGCCCCCCGACUGGCGUGGCUGUCCCACAGCCUCCGCCACGUACCCCGCAGAAGGGACGCAUCCGGGGGCGGCAUGCGAGGGUCGCCCUCCACUGCCGCCGCUGCUGCCGCCGCCGCCGUGGCAGGCCCCGUGCUAGGCCCCGCCCCGCCCGCCGCCUGCUCCUGCAGCCGCGCGGACCGCCGCGGCCCCUCACCUGACUGCUGGGACGGGGACGCAUACGACUGCAGUUCUCUCGCUGGCGUGUUCUGCAGCCCGGCUGCCGCAGAGGUGCGGUGGAGCCAGGGGUCCAGAGCCACCGGGUUAUUGUGGAAAUGCUGCGCCGCCGUGGUGGUCAGCUGCGCCGCUGCACGCUGCCACUCCGCCUCCCGCUCCACCAGCCGCGACUGUGCCGCCGGCUGGGUCCCCGAACCCCCCACCUGCUGUGCUGGCGCUGGGCACGGCAUGGCUGCAGGGCGGGCCGGAGCCGGUGGUGCGGCCGGGUUAGCCGCGGUGAUGGCCCGCCGCACGUCCCGCACCGUGUAGUCCGCCAAGCUGACACCCGCAAUCCGGCAGUGCUCCGGGUGCACCACCACCCCAGCCACCGGUGCCAGGAAGUACGGCGCCCGAGGCCACGCCCCCGCCCGUUCCCCUGGUGAUGCUGCAUCGUACGCCGCCCGCUCUUCAAAGGUCCACAGGUGCCGCGGCUUGCGAUGCUGCAGCACACAGGCAGGCUGCCACGCCCCAUCCAUUUUCGCGUGCCCUACCGUGUGGCGUUGCGGGUGGGUGCGUAACGCGUGUCCGGUCGCCCUACGUACGUGUGGGCGCUGGGUGCUAAGUGGUGUAGUCCGCCGCUCUGCUCUACGCUACGCUUCGAGGAGCUACGGCGAGGGGGAAGCACCCGUGCUGCUGCAGCUCCCCUGAGGGCCGAGCGGCAGCAGCAGCCCUCUCCACAGCAGCGGGUGGCAGCGGGAGGGCUUAGCGGGGGGCAGCCGUCGGCAGGUGUGGGGGGGCCGCUGGCGGCCAGGCGUCACACUGCCGAUGCCGGGCCGGCUGGCGCGCAGCAGCAGCCAAGUAGGGCUCCCACGCCGCAGCCGCCCUUUGAUCAGCGGGCAGCUGCUAGGCAGGAGCAGAAGCUGCAAGUUGUGAUGCGGCGGUACUUGGCCGAUUUGGCGGAACUCACUCUCCAGCAGCAACGGCGGGUACAGCAACAGCAGCAGCAGGAGCAGCAGCGCCAGGUGCAGUCGCUUAUGCCCCGGACCGGCUCCCGGUUUGGGGUCCUGGCCACACUGGGGGGACAGGACGGGGCGGGUGAUGGCGCUGCCACAGCGGCGUCCGGGCGUGGGCGACGGGUGCAACCAGCCGCGCACGCACCGCAGCCGCCGCCGCAGAAACAGCCCCGCUCCAAAGGGCGCAGUGGCCCCGCCCAGCUUCCGCAGCAGAGGGCAGGGCGCUUGGGCGGCGGGCUGCCUCCCCCGCAGGACAGUGCUAGCUCGCCGCCGCACGUGCCCACUGGGCGGCCGGCGGGGGGACAGCAGGCUGGUGGGGGCAGCGGGUCGGGGCGCCAAGGUGGAGGAGCGGGGCGGGCAGUGCCCCAGCCGCCGCCCCAGGCGGGGCCGCCACUGCAGACGUCACAACCGGCGGGUGGUGGUAAGGGCAGGGGCAGGGGCCUGGGCGUGCCGGCUGGGGUUUCGGCCGACACGGCUGGGCGCGCUGGUGGGGGUGCGGGCAGUGAGGCGGAGUACGGGGCCGUUUGCCUGACCCGCGACACGUGUGUUGCCAUCGGCUCUGACCUCGUGACUUACCAGAACCGCUGCGCAGAUGUGCAGGGGUAUGAGUGGGCGCAGCUUGGCCGCGACGCGCUUGGUGGCCGCCUCCUCGGCUACCUCCGUGACCAGGGCGCCACCGUACCGGACUGGGCUGUCUGCCGUGUGCCGGCAGGCCGUACCGCCGUCCUGGCACAGCUGCGCGACGAGUUCACUGGCUGGUGGCGCCUGUACUCAGCCCAGCCUGCAGGCACGCCCCUGCCUUCCGACGUGACGGAGCAGCUGGAUGACGCCGCGCAGCAGGUGCAGACGGCCUACAUGGACUACGUGCUCCUAGACGCCCGCACCCUGCGGUCCGCUAAGCGUGGGCCGGCGGACCCCGGCGGUGCUGGGGGGCCCAGCCGCCGGCAACGCCAGCACCGCAGCCGCAGUACUUCCAGCCUCAUGAGCCUGGGCAGCGCUCCACUGCGCCCCGGCGGCGCCAGCUCAGGCGCCGCUAGCAUGAGCACCAGCUGCGGCGGCGCGCCCCCCAGCCAGGGUGGCGGCCACCGCCGCAAUCGCCACAGCAGCAACAGCAACCGCAACCGCCACGGCGCUGCCGUGGCCGGCGGGGGCUCAUAAUGCGGCCACCAGUAGGAGCGGCGAACCUUCGGCUGCUUUUUUUUUUUUUGAGGAAUCAUCCUUACAAGGUUGACCAGGGGCAGACGCGCUGCCCCCCUGCUGCCUGAAAGCAGCCUGGUCCCCGAGACCAGAACCCUGAUAGGGCAAGAAGAGAAGAAAAGAGAAGAAGACAGAAAGCAAACACCUCGAACACCGCCACUCACCACCCCCAUCCAACCCACCCCACCCCACCCCGACCCGGCAGACAGAGCAGGAGGCUGGCCCCCCCGCCCCCCGGGAGGGGUUGCACAAAAACACCGCCAGACCUAACCCAAGCACCAACCUACACCACAGCGUAACCGCAAGAACCACCACCACCGCGCGCCAGCAAAGAAAACACCAGCGCUACACACUCGCGCCGCCCAAACCCACCCCACCCCCACAAGUCGGUUGCUUAAGCAACACCCCAGUAGAACCGGCAGAGGAGACACAAGCAGAACACUAAACGGGCCAGAUGUGGCGCUGACUAAGCGGGCUCCAGUCCGCUGCAAGACGCGCUGUGCAGGAAGUCCCACAGCCGCCCAGGCGCUGCCACUCCAGCCAGAGCUAGUACUCAUGGGCGCCAGACAAGCUGAUGACGAUAAUACGCCACGCCAGCGCCUGGAAAGAAAUGCUGCCCAGAAGGAAAUCUAGGGGGCCUGCACAGGUGAUGCAAGCGUCAGCCGCAAGUUCAACUUCGGUGACCCACCCUGAACCUCCUCCACUUCACAAAGCGCGCCACCCGCCGUCCAGAUGGCAACAAAAUGCUCCAGCUUAGCCGCCUUGAGCUGUGCGGUGAGAAGCUGAGUGGGCAGAGCCGACAGGGUUUCAGGGGUUAGCGUGGCGGCAGUGAAACGCAGCCGCAUCACCCUGCGCAGCUCGCUGACCACCUCCCGAACCACAUGCUCCGACGUCUGCUUAGCAGGCUCGCGGGACCAGUACGCACACCAGACGGCGUACAAGAAGGUGGCCCGCAAAGUGCUCCACAGCAGCGCUCCCGCCCCCCGCGGGCCUGAGGCCCACAUACCCAUGCGGUCCCCCAGCAUGAAGCCCGCGUCCGUCACUGGCGGCGCCGCUGCCUGGGGCGCAACACAGGCCCACAGCUGCUGCAGCCACGUCCUCGCCUGCGCAUAAGCUGGACACUCCAGGAAGAUGUGCGUCAGGCUGGCCCACGCCCGCGGGCCAGGUGGCCCGCAGGCGGGGUGAAGACAGUGCGCCCCCAACCCCCCGCACCCCGUGGUCACCCGUGGACGAAUUCCCUUGCCCGCCCUGUACAGCCCGCAAGGCAGGUAAGCAUGUUGCAGCCGGUACACAAGUACCUUUGCCCCCCGACUGGCGUGGCUGUCCCACAGCCUCCGCCACGUACCCCGCAGAAGGGACGCAUCCGGGGGCGGCAUGCGAGGGUCGCCCUCCACUGCCGCCGCUGCUGCCGCCGCCGCCGUGGCAGGCCCCGUGCUAGGCCCCGCCCCGCCCGCCGCCUGCUCCUGCAGCCGCGCGGACCGCCGCGGCCCCUCACCUGACUGCUGGGACGGGGACGCAUACGACUGCAGUUCUUUCGCUGGCGUGUUCUGCAGCCCGGCUGCCGCAGAGGUGCGGUGGAGCCAGGGGUCCAGAGCCACCGGGUUAUUGCGGAAAUGCUGCGCCGCCGUGGUGGUCAGCUGCGCCGCUGCACGCUGCCACUCCGCCUCCCGCUCCACCAGCCGCGACUGUGCCGCCGGCUGGGUCCCCGAACCCCCCGCCUGCUGUGCUGGCGCUGGGCACGGCAUGGCUGCAGGGCGGGCCGGAGCCGGAGGUGCGGCCGGGUUGCUGACAGUGAAUGUCAACGGCCUGGGCUCGCCGUCUAAGGCGCGGGCGCUGGUCUCGCACCUGCAGCAAGUUGGGGCGGAUGUGGCGAUGGUGCAGGAGACCCACGCUACUGACACGACCGCGCUGGAGUCUUGCCUCCGUGCCGCGCAGGGGGCGUGCCUUCCGUGGCGCCACUGCCUCGCUGCCAGCCCGGCAGCGUCGCCCCACUCCUGUGGGGCGGCUAUCCUGGCGCGGAGUCGGCUGUCCCUUCCAGGCUGCGUACUGCAGCCGCCGUCAACGGAUGCGGCGGGCCGUGUGGUAUGUUGGGAUUGGGACGUGGGUCACCUGCGCCUGCGCUUCGUGUGUGUGUAUGCGCCCACGGCCGUGGCGGACAAGCCUGCUUUCUUUGCCGGGCUGCAUCCCCACCUGGCCACGGACAGGGUGCUUGUUGUCGGUGGGGACUGGAACUGUGUCACCGAUGCCAGUCAGGAGGCGGCCCCUAGCCCGUCACGUGCUGCAGGUGCCCCGCAACUUGCCAGCCUCCUCGCCCAGUUCAGUCUGGUGGACCCUUGGGCGAGCAAGCGUGGCGGCGCCAAGGGCUACACGCAUCCGGCCACACCCAAGCCGGCCACUCCCGCACGCCUGGAUCGGUGGUAUGUCAGUGCCACCGCGGCGCCGUGGGUGGUGGAUGUCGCUCGCACGUAUGGGGCACCUGGGGACCACAACGGUGUGCUGCUCACCCUGGCCUUGCCCGACCUGCCACAUGCGCACCGGGAGCAGUGGCGCUUCCCCACGUACCUGCUGUUUCACCCCUCGCUGCGUUUGGAGCUCGAGCAGCGCUUGGAGGCGCACGUUGCCGCAAAUCCCGUGGCCAGUACAGGUGACGGCGCUUGCACGCAAUGGGAGGCGGACAAGUUCUUCUUGCGGGAGGCCGCCACCAGCAUCCACCGUCGGCAUGCACGCCAGACCCGGGAUGGGCUGCAUGGCGUGGUGCUGGCCGCAGACGCGGCCGCUGCCCUGGCCGACCGGCCGGGUGCCAGCACCGCGCAGCGUCAGGCUGCGGCCAUGGCCAACUUGGCGGUGCGGGAGGAGCGGGCAGCUGCCGCAGCGGCCAGCCACAAUGCCCGCGCUGCACUGAUGGAGGAGCAUGGGGAGCGGGGCACUCGCUGGUUCCAUCGGCAGGCUGACGAGCCAGCAGCCGGCGCGCAGGAGCCCAUCACGCACUUGAAGGUGCCGGGGCAACCGGCGCCUGUGGCGCUGACGGGGCCGGGCACGCGCAACACUGUCUCCGCCGCCGCCGCAGCCAUGUACAGCAGCACCAGCCCCACCGGCCUGUUCCGCGUGCAGCCGGUCUGUACGGCGUCGCAGCAACAGCUUCUGGCGGCCAUUGACCGCAAGGUUCCAGCGGAUCUGCACGCCGCCGCAGAGGGGUCCGGUGACGGCGCCCUCAGUGAUGCCGAGCUGAUGGCAGCGCUGGCUGGCUCCGCCAAUGGUAAAGCGCCUGGGUCGGACGGGGUCCCGUACGAGGUGUACAAGGUUUUCUGGGCACUGCUGGGCCCGCGCUUGUGUGCUGCUGCUGCCGCUGCCUUUGCUGCCGCUGCAGACGCCCACGAUGGCGGCGAAAUGGCGGCGGCGCUGCCCGCCUCCUGGCGGGAGGGCAUCAUCACGCUCAUCUACAAGGGCAAAAGCCUGGACCGCGCCGAGCUGGCGUCCUACCGGCCCAUCACGCUGCUCAACUGCGACUUCAAGAUGGUGUCCAAGGCCGUCAGCGCCCGCCUGCAGCCCGCCCUGGAUGCAGUUGUGGAUGAGCUGCAGACCGCGUUCAUCACCGGCCGCUGGAUUGGAGACAACGCGCUGUACCUCCAAGGCCUGAUCGAAUGGAUGCGCCUGGACGUGGGCGCGGACGGCACGCCACGGCAGGGUGGUGCGCUGUACUUCUUGGACAUCGAAAAGGCGUAUGACUGGGUGCACCGGCAGUGGCUGUAUGCGUCCGCGGAGGGUCUGGGGUUUGGGCCGCGCAUGCUGCGCUGGAUCCGCCUGAUCACUGCCAACGGCUCUGCCCGCGUGUGUGUGAACGGGAUGCUUUCUGACGCCUUCCCAGUGCUGAACGGCUUGCCGCAGGGCAGCACCGCCUCACCACCCCUGUGGGUCAUCCAGAUGCAGCCACUGACGUCCUUUCUGCGGCGGCAGGUGGAGCAAGGGGCACUGCGCACGCCCCUGUUACCCAGCGGCGAGCAGGCGCCGCCUGCUGCCCACCACGCUGACGACACGACCCUCACGGCGCGCGACCCGGCAGUGGACGGGCCGGUCCUGAUGGCGGCAGUACAGCUGUUCUGCCGCGCGUCCAACGCCCGUGUCCAUCCGGACAAGAGCAAGGCCAUGGGCCUUGGCAGGUUUGCGCACCUGACGGGCCCUUGCCCACACACGGGGGUGCCGUUUACCACUGGCGCCGUGACGCACCUGGGUGUGCCCCUGUCGUGGGACUCGGAUGCGGCUGCAGCUGACUUGUACACCCGGCGGGCUCGCGGCAUGGCGUUUGUGGCGCGUCUGUGGGCUGCCCUGUCUCUGACUCUCGUUGGCCGUGUGCACAUUGCAAAGCAGGUGCUGGCGGCGAAGCUGGCCUACCACUUCAGCUUCCUCAACCCGUCGCCUGCGCAGCUGAAGGAACUCACCGACCUGGUGGACCACUUUGCUGCG